This 287-nucleotide ribosomal RNA is filed under the name Pentatrichomonas hominis. Its description in RNAcentral is "partial small subunit ribosomal RNA". The stretch from base 82 to 287 matches the Rfam family "Eukaryotic small subunit ribosomal RNA", at positions 1178 to 1381 of the family's 1831-position model. Lineage: Eukaryota; Parabasalia; Trichomonadida; Trichomonadidae. The record is from RNAcentral.
UCUCGUUCUGCUUAGUUUGGUUUCGGGGGGUGCCAUCCUGCGCUGUUGUUGAUGAUGCUGCUCGCAUGGGAUUCAAUGGUGGGAGCCUGUGGCUUAAUUUGAAUCAACACGGGGAAACUUACCAGGACCAGAUGUUUUUUAUGACUGACAGGCUUCGGGUCUUUCAGGAUAUUGCUUUUGGUGGUGCAUGGCCGUUGGUGGUGCGUGGGUUGACCUGUCUAGCGUUGAUUCAGCUAACGAGCGAGAUUAUCGCCAAUUAUAUAGCUCGCAUUGGCUUCAGUGUUGAA